UCAAGGCCUCAGCACGGGUUGUGCUACCCAGAGGAAUCCUGUGGCAAAGAAAGGCCCUCAAAGUUCAAAAGAUUAUUUGAACGUGGUGACUUGGAGACAUAUAUCAGGUGCCAGCUUUGCAGCGCUCUGCGUGUCACACCACAGGGCUCCACUAAGGCCUUGGUGUCACUUUCUGCUGCCUCGAGAAAGCAGUCAGCAGCAGCCAGAGGACUGACUUUCACCUCAAACUCCUGGGCACAGCUUCCUGAAUCUAGCAUUUCUACAGUUCAGGUUCAUGGGGGGAUUAGAGGCAGAGUUUGGAAACGCCAGUUGUGUGUCCUGCCGCCUCUAGAUUCUCCUUCUUCCAGUAUUUGGUGGUCUUCGUUCCUUUAUUUAGUUACCCAUAGCCUCUUAAAAUUGUAUCCUGACAAAGACCACAUCAGCACAUUACCCCGCACUGAUCCACUAGAUGGCGCUGUCUCAAGCUGGCAGAACACACCAGUUGAACGAUUUUGUUUUGCUUUGAUUUGCAUCGAUGGGUCCAGCAACGUGCUGUGGGGACGUCCCUGGUGGCCCAGUGGUUACAGAAUCCGACUGCCAAUGCAGGGGACACAGGUUCAAUCCCUGAUCCAGGACGAUCCCACAUGCCGCGGAGCAGCAGAGCCCAUGUGCCACUCAGUUGGCCCGUGUGCCACUGCUGAAGCCACUGCAACGAGAAGUCCUGGUACCCCAACGAAGAGUAGCCCCCACUCAGCAACAAAGACUCGGCACAACCAAAAAUAAAUAAAAAUACAAAAGAAACCUGCUGCAGUUAUUUCACAGGGAUCCUCUGAAGGACGUGACGUUAUUAGUUUUCUAAUAAGGAGAAGGUUUAAAGCCACCAGCAGUGAGGCUGGGGAAGAGACUUCCAGAGGAAAAGCAAGCAGACGAGGGAGCCUCUGGAAGCCUAAAGGGAGCGGGGGCCACAGGCUACCAUGGAGUGAAGGCGCCAUCUAGUGGCUCCCCUGAGUGCGGCUGCUUUGUUGUUUUUUAAAGACAGUGAUGGGGGCAGUUUAUCUAUUUUUAUUUUUUAUUAUUUAUCUGGCUGCGUUGGGUCUUAGUUGUGCCACAUCAGGUCUUCCUUGCUGCACACCGACUCUCUACUUGUAGCGCACGGGGCUCCAACACACGGGCUCAGUUGCUCCACUGCAUGUGGGAUCCUAGUCCCCUGACCAGGAAUCAAACCUGUGGAUUCCUUGUGACACUGCAAGGUGGGUUCUUAACCACUGGGCCACCAGGGAAGUUCCUAAACCUGGUGCUGAAAGAUGCCUUCUAGAACCUAAAUUGCAGCUCUGCCCUGGGGGCCUGAGGAUUAAGACAUCUCAACUCAGUUCAGUUCAGUUCAGUCACUCAGUCAUGUCCGACUCUUUGCCACCCCAUGGACUGCAGCACACCAGGCCUCCCUGUCCAUCACCAACU
RNAcentral lists this long non-coding RNA (1437 nucleotides) under Bos grunniens (domestic yak). Its description in RNAcentral is "lncRNA (ENSBGRG00000021385.1)". The record is from RNAcentral. Lineage: Eukaryota; Metazoa; Chordata; Mammalia; Artiodactyla; Bovidae.